This 409-nucleotide long non-coding RNA is filed under the name Equus caballus (horse). RNAcentral describes it as "lncRNA (ENSECAG00000052893.1)". The record is from RNAcentral. Lineage: Eukaryota; Metazoa; Chordata; Mammalia; Perissodactyla; Equidae.
GUGAGAACAGAUUCUGAGCCACAAUCAACCAAACCCUGCACGCUGCCCUACCCGAGUCCCAUUAUACGCACAUGGAACUGUCUUCAAUUCAGCAACCUGUACUCAGCAAAACCAAACCAGUUCAUUGAAGAUGACGAAGCCACAGGAACUGCUGCUACUACUGAAGCUUGAUGCCUACAGCUGUAAUGGAAGGAAGGGCUAAUUUUCAGUUAGAAAUUCUGGAAGAAGCUCCUCUCUCUGGUCUCUACUGCUGUUUUGUCUCCUGUUAGCGUGAUUGUCACUGUUGCCAGGGGCAGUCAGUGCCAGCUUACUGCAAUUAACUAAGAACUGCAAACUGCAAGGGGCUGAGAGGCCACUGAGGAGGAGAAUUGGGCCCAGAUGAUGAAGAUCCAGAGGAAAUUCAAGUGGU